UCCCUGGUGGUUCAAUGGUUAGGACUCUCUGCUUCCACUGAAGGGGGCACAGGUUCGAUCCCUGGUUGGGGAA
RNAcentral lists this transfer RNA (73 nucleotides) under Bos taurus (domestic cattle). It matches the Rfam family "tRNA". From Rfam's summary of the family: Transfer RNA (tRNA) molecules are approximately 80 nucleotides in length. The record is from Rfam by way of RNAcentral. Lineage: Eukaryota; Metazoa; Chordata; Mammalia; Artiodactyla; Bovidae. RNAcentral also lists the same sequence under 4 other names.